RNAcentral lists this ribosomal RNA (724 nucleotides) under uncultured organism. RNAcentral describes it as "SSU rRNA". It matches the Rfam family "Bacterial small subunit ribosomal RNA", at positions 102 to 804 of the family's 1533-position model. The record is from RNAcentral.
ACGGGUGAGUAACGCGUAAUCAACCUGCCCUUCAGAGGGGGACAACAGUUGGAAACGACUGCUAAUACCGCAUACGAUCUAACCUCGGCAUCGAGGAUAGAUGAAAGGUGGCCUCUAUUUAUAAGCUAUCACUGAAGGAGGGGAUUGCGUCUGAUUAGCUAGUUGGAGGGGUAACGGCCUACCAAGGCGAUGAUCAGUAGCCGGUCUGAGAGGAUGAACGGCCACAUUGGGACUGAGACACGGCCAGACUCCUACGGGAGGCAGCAGUGGGGAAUCUUCCGCAAUGGACGAAAGUCUGACGGAGCAACGCCGCGUGAGUGAUGACGGCCUUCGGGUUGUAAGGCUCUGUUAAUCGGGACGAAGGGCCUUCUUGCGAAUAGUUAGAAGGAUUGACGGUACCGGAAUAGAAAGCCACGGCUAACUACGUGCCAGCAGCCGCGGUAAUACGUAGGUGGCAAGCGUUGUCCGGAAUUAUUGGGCGUAAAGCACGCGCAGGCGGAUUGGUCAGUCUGUCUUAAAAGUUCGGGGCUUAACCCCGUGAUGGGAUGGAAACUGCCAAUCUAGAGUAUCGGAGAGGAAAGUGGAAUUCCUAGUGUAGCGGUGAAAUGCGUAGAUAUUAGGAAGAACACCAGUGGCGAAGGCGACUUUCUGGACGAAAACUGACGCUGAGGCGCGAAAGCCAGGGGAGCGAACGGGAUUAGAUACCCCGGUAGUCCUGGCCGUA